RNAcentral lists this ribosomal RNA (45 nucleotides) under Curvularia lunata. RNAcentral describes it as "partial 28S ribosomal RNA". RNAcentral also lists the same sequence under 15 other names. The record is from RNAcentral. Lineage: Eukaryota; Fungi; Ascomycota; Dothideomycetes; Pleosporales; Pleosporaceae.
GACCUCGGAUCAGGUAGGGAUACCCGCUGAACUUAAGCAUAUCAA